UGAACGCUGGCGGCGUGCCUAAUACAUGCAAGUCGAGCGAACAGAUGAGAAGCUUGCUUCUCUGAUGUUAGCGGCGGACGGGUGAGUAACACGUGGGUAACCUACCUAUAAGACUGGGAUAACUCCGGGAAACCGGGGCUAAUACCGGAUAAUAUAUUGAACCGCAUGGUUCAAUGUUGAAAGACGGUUUCGGCUGUCACUUAUAGAUGGACCCGCGCCGUAUUAGCUAGUUGGUAAGGUAACGGCUUACCAAGGCAACGAUACGUAGCCGACCUGAGAGGGUGAUCGGCCACACUGGAACUGAGACACGGUCCAGACUCCUACGGGAGGCAGCAGUAGGGAAUCUUCCGCAAUGGGCGAAAGCUGACGGAGCAACGCCGCGUGAGUGAUGAAGGUCUUAGGAUCGUAAAACUCUGUUGUUAGGGAAGAACAAAUUUGUUAGUAACUGAACAAGUCUUGACGGUACCUAACCAGAAAGCCACGGCUAACUACGUGCCAGCAGCCGCGGUAAUACGUAGGUGGCAAGCGUUAUCCGGAAUUAUUUGGGCGUAAAGCACGCGUAGGCGGUUUCUUAAGUCUGAUGUGAAAGCCCACGGCUCAACCGUGGAGGGUCAUUGGAAACUGGGGAACUUGAGUGCAGAAGAGGAGAGUGGAAUUCCAUGUGUAGCGGUGAAAUGCGCAGAGAUAUGGAGGAACACCAGUGGCGAAGGCGGCUCUCUGGUC
This 723-nucleotide ribosomal RNA is filed under the name uncultured Staphylococcus sp. Its description in RNAcentral is "bacterial SSU rRNA". It matches the Rfam family "Bacterial small subunit ribosomal RNA", at positions 30 to 734 of the family's 1533-position model. The record is from RNAcentral. Lineage: Bacteria; Bacillati; Bacillota; Bacilli; Caryophanales; Staphylococcaceae.